Long non-coding RNA from Brassica napus (rape), 4823 nucleotides. RefSeq lists it as uncharacterized. The transcript has 12 exons. Lineage: Eukaryota; Viridiplantae; Streptophyta; Magnoliopsida; Brassicales; Brassicaceae. The record is from RefSeq and is a predicted model, not a curated record.
UUAAAUUAAGAAGAAAAUAGCCAUUUACUUGAGAGACGUGUGGGCCGGAAGAAACGUUUCUUGUGGGAUAGGUGUUUCUUUCUCGCUUCGACGAAGCUUUGAUCGGUAUCUUCUGCCUUCCAUGGCCAGUGAAAGCAGCAGAAUCGGAUUGUUUACGAACGCGGAGGUGACCACGAGCGGAAGACCAGUGCUCCGCCGCAACGAAGUCGAGUGCUUCCUCCCCUCCUCUGUUGACCUAGAUUCCGAAGACGAUCCACCGCGAUUCACCUCCCUGAGGUACUAAAGAACCUCGCCGUUCUGAGUUAUCAAUCCUCGCCGAACUUUGUCACCAGAAUUUCCGCCUCCGUUUCACCCAGGUGAUCCCGACUCGAACCUAAGUCUCUGAUUGCCUCUUUCAUAUCUCAUUUCACGCAGUCUUCUUAUCGCUUUGAGAGGAUCAAUCUGAUUAGGUUUUAAUCCAUGAUCCCGUCUCUUAACUCUUGUUAUUGAUCCAUCUUUGGCAUUCAUAUUGAGAUUGCGUUUAUGUAUUAUGUUUGUGAUCAUUCAAGAAGCUAUCACACUGAUGAAAACGAGAUUCAUUCAAGUCUUCAACUUUUGUAGUUAGUUUUGAUUCUACAGAGCUUGCAUCCUGCGUUUUAUCUGACUGAUGACGCUUGAUGAUUAUAAGGUGGAAGAAACUAAGUAUAAUUGGUGAUCUUCAGUUGCAGCAACAAUUAAAGGUGGAGCUUAUGGUUUCAUCUCGGUGGUGUUGUGGAGUGGGUUAUAUCAGUUUCAGGUAGUGUAGCUUCUUCGUCAAAAGUUGUUUAUCCAGAUACAGCUCAGAUGAUCGUUUAUGACCCAACAAAGAAAUCAGAGUUUUCUAGUUCGGUAAAACCAAUGGCGGCUUCUGCUUCGAACACCUUUCAAAGUAAUGUGACAGCAACUGCAACUCAUGUCUCAGCCAACACAUUUGAUGAAAUACCAAAGACUACUCCACCUGCAUUGUUAGCUUUUUUAGCUAACUUGCCUCAUAUUGACGGUAAAUUUCUUAAACCAGUUCCAAGCGAUUGAGAGUCUUAAGGAAUGGAUUGAGCUUAGGGAUCUUCACAGCUAUCAUAUGACUUCCAUGAAGUGUUGAAUAGCAUUGUUUUCCAUCACAAACCACAAUCUGAAACAUUUCUUUCAUCACAAAAUCUUGUUCUCUUUCAUGUUCUUCCUUUUAUUUAUCAAUCCAAUCAACAAUCUUAAACAUUUCUUUCAUCACUUUUUUUUAAGAAUCCUUAACUUAAAAAACUACCAUUGAAGAACUAAAAUUAGGUGUUUCUUAACAUAAACUCUUAACUUAAUUUUAACUAAAUUUUGACCGCGUCCCUGCGCGGGUGUUGAAUUUAAUUUGUGUUAAAUGUAAACUCAUAAAUCAUUGGAUUUACAAAAUGUCCAUGUAUAUUUUUAUGUUUCGUAAACUACAUUUUAGAGUAGAAUAUAUUAUUUUAUAAUAUAGAUGUUUGAUAAUAUUUUUUUAUCUAUGCAUAAUAGUAUAUUUAUAAUUUUAUAACUUGAUGCAAGUUGACGUAAUUAUAAUAUUCAUAUAUUAACCUCUUGCUUUCUGUUUAUUUAUUUAAAAAUGAUUUUAUCUUUUGCAGUAGUUUUCUAUGAAUUAUUAUUAAUUUUGUGAUAUUUUAUUUUUGAAAAUUAUAUUGUUUUAUAUAAUAUAUAUAUAUAUAUAUAUAUAUAUUAUAUAUUACAGUUUCUGUUUUUAUUUUCACCGCAAAGAACAACAACCAUAAAUUGCUAAAUAAAAUUUACUGUAGUUCACUUUAUUUAAAAAAAAAAUUAAAAUGUCAAUUAUUUAAAAAAUUGGGCUAGACUAUAUAAUAAAAGAAUUAAUAUGUCAAUUAUUUACAGAAUUGGGCUAGUAAUCAUGUAUCCAAAUUAUACAUAAAAGCUGGCCCAUAUUAAUAUUUUUCCUUUUGUCGAUUUGUCCAACUAAUUACUCAGGGAAAAUAACAUGUUACUUAGAAAAGUCAACUACUUUUUGCUUUCUCCUAAUCUUCUCUGUUGGCCAUUCGGUGUCUCUCUCUUUUAUCUGAUCUUCAUAAUGAUAACUUAAAAAAGAUAAAUCAAAUACCGAAUAUGAGGUUUUUUUAAUCCUAAAGACGAAUUCAUGUUCACCAGUUUGUUCAUCGAUUUAUUGUAUAAAAGAUCUGUCAUCUCUAAUAGAAGAUUGGCCAUCACCCAAGUGUUUCAAAAUUUGUAAACGAAUCUUCAAUUUCUCAACGCAUGUAAUAGGUAGAAAAAGGAGAUGAUUUGAUCAAAUUGAUGUGCUCUUGAUUCCUGUUAUGUUACCAGCGAUGAAUAUGGUCGACAUGGAAGAAGCAAAGUUAGGUUUCUGUUUUUCUUAAACACUUUCUGCUUGUUAUUUUCUACGUUCUUUUUUUGAAUAUUCAUUGGUUGUAUAACUUAUUUAGAAUGUGGUCGAGAUAGGAUUUAUUGGUUAAUGAGUUUGCAUUCGUUUGCAAUAAGUUAUGUUUUUGAUUUAAAACUACACUAGAUAAGCCUAUAAUUUACAAACCAAAUUAAUAUAUUGUAUCUAUUCCAUUAAUUUUGCUUGUUUAGAUUUUGACUUGGCUUGUUAUGUGUUUUUCGGGCAUGUACUAACUUUUAUUUAUUGACUGAUUACACGGUUGCAUAUAAGACACAUAGUGAAGAAAAAAAGAGACUGAAACAGACGAAGGAAAUAGUAAAAACUUGUCUUCCAUAUCAGUAUCUUUCAGGUUAUGUAGGUGUUAUUGAUAAGAAUUCUAGAUGUUGGAGAAGAAAGAUCAUUCAAGGGAGAAGCUCAAAUACCAAAUAUAAUUGCGAACUUUGCGGACAAAACCAAGGUAACUAACUGUGGAGGCAUUCGAUGGCUUUUAAGGAGAUUAGGAAGCAAUAUAAGAGAUGUGAAAACAUAUAUAGCUCGGAGAAAAAAAAGACUUGGGAUGAAAGUUUAGUUUUGAAAAUUAAGGUAAUAAUAUAUUUCAAGAUUGCAACCGAGAAUCUAGCCUAUUCUGUCUACCAAUUAAUUCAAACUCUCUAUUUAUUAAGAUAUUCUCACGAAUAUUUUUUGCUUUCAUAGUUUGGUUAAUUGAACCAGUUGGUUAAGAUAUUUACUGGGUAAGUUAAUCGAUAAUGUGCAUGUUAUUGAUUUUGAUUUUGGUUUAAGUUGUGCGACAGUGAAAUUACGAAAAUGACAUUAAUGAAGGAAGCAAAGAAAACGUUUUCUCCUGCUAACUUUGUGUCCAAACAACAGUUAAAAAAAAUUAAAAGUCUACAAUCUAAGUUUUCAAACAGUAUCAAAAGGUACUUCAAUUUUAAUAAUAUAAAUACUUAAAUAUUGACUAAGAACUCAUUUAGAGGUUACCCCUGUAAACAUGCUCUUAUAUACUAUAAAGAAGAGCUCCACUGUCUUCUCUUCUUGCCAUGUCAUCAGAUAAAGGGCGCAGAGAGUGAUACGUGUCCUAUUGAACUAAGUCUCGAGCUUCUUUUUUUUUGUUUCUAAUGGGCUUUACACGUCUGUGUAUUCUGUACGCUUAAAAAUAUAAUUUUGGGCUGAAACCUUUGAGUCGCAUUCUCUUCUUCUCUUUCUAAAGUUUAUCCGCCUUGAGCAGAAUGUUCUUUUAUACUUUUUAAUCGUCAUCUUCCAUCCGAAUUCGUCAUCUCCAAGUUCAUCAUCAUACGAAUCCUUCGCCAUCAAGAACCAUCGACAUUAUCUGAGUUUUAGGAGGAUGUGUGAGAUGUAUCUUCCUGAUGAAUCUCUGGAUCGAGCUUUUUUUUUUUUUUUUGAUAAGUCCCUGGAUUAAGUUUCGUUCGCGCCGGUUCGUCUUAGAUUCGUGUCCUCCAAAACGUUACGGAUUCAUCAAUUCAUCGCCAUUAAGAAGCAAUUUACGACCCACAACUACCACAAUCAAACAUUCAAUGUUUAUCCUCCUAUAAAAAGGAUCGUUGCUCUAUAGGUUCUCUCACAUGAUCCAUCAACACCAAAAUGUUCAUAUUCAUCUGUACAUCCAAUUGUUCCCAUAAAGGAAUAUAAUGAAAUCAUCUAACCUGUUCGUCGGUCAGGCUAUCUUGGAAGACCACUGAAUAUCGAGACUACUUUCAGAGUUUCCACCGGCUGUGCUCAUGGCUUUGGUUUCUUUUUCUUCGCUGGUCCCAGUGUUACUGUGAUAGCCAUAUUGCUCAUUCACAUCACUGAUGUUAAAACUAUAGUUUUACUCGCUAAAAAGUUAAAAUAGUAUUUCCAGAAGCGGUGGUGAUCACGGUGGCAGAGGAGGGGGUCGCGGUGGUGGUGGUCAUGAAGACCAUGUCGGCAUGGAGAAGAAGAAGAAUGCGAGGCAUCGAAAAGAUGUGGAAUGGUUCGUCGACCAGUGACAUGGAGACGAUGGAUCUGGGACUAUUCUAAGGAUCACCGCUAUUCUAUUUAACUAGAGCAUGUGUCAUUCAAGUGUCAUGGAACCUUGGUGACAUUCGGAGUUGGUCCUGUGCUCAAAUUCCGGUAUCCAAAAACAGAGUAGCGAUGGAAAUUGCAGGUAGUGUGACGAGAGAGCACAGAUUCCAAUCUUAUAUUGCAAGGUUUGGCCCAAGUUGGCUACAACAACAUCUGCUAACUGAAGCUCUUGACUAGCAUGGUCUGAAGGGAUUAAGGGUGAAUUUCCAUUUUCAUGUCCCUUAUUCGUUUUUCUUAAUUUUUUUGUAUGGAAACAGUUGAAUUUAUCAAAAGAAAGCAUCUUUAUUAUUAAAAGAGAAAAGUACCCAUUUGAAAAUGUUCUUACUUCAUUAAUUAAACUCCUUUUUUUUUUCUUGUC